Long non-coding RNA from Chiroxiphia lanceolata (lance-tailed manakin), 245 nucleotides. RefSeq lists it as uncharacterized. The record is from RefSeq and is a predicted model, not a curated record. NCBI's taxonomy places the organism in Eukaryota, Metazoa, Chordata, Aves, Passeriformes, Pipridae. The transcript has 3 exons.
GACUCAGACUCCUCUGAGCCUCCUACCUACAUGGUUCAGAAGUCCACAGCUUCCCUCUGUCGUUCUGCUAGAGCCUGCUAGCUCCUGUUUCCACCCCAUCCUGGCAGGCCCUACAGGUGUAUCCUGCUUGAGGGCCACUUAUUUUGAAGAUGGUGAAAGACAAACUGCUGGAGUGGCCUGUUCAGCCUGGAGGAGACUGAGGGGAGACCUCAUUGAACUCUACAAUUUCCUCUUGAGGAGAAGAA